This 305-nucleotide ribosomal RNA is filed under the name uncultured bacterium. Its description in RNAcentral is "bacterial SSU rRNA". It matches the Rfam family "Bacterial small subunit ribosomal RNA", at positions 333 to 634 of the family's 1533-position model. The record is from RNAcentral.
UCACCCCUACGGGGCGCAGCAGUGAGGAAUAUUGGUCAAUGGGCGGAAGCCUGAACCAGCCACGUCGCGUGAGGGAUUAAGGCCCUAUGGGUCGUAAACCUCUUUUGUCAGGGAGCAAUGGCGUCCACGUGUGGGCGUAUGGAGAGUACCUGAAGAAAAAGCAUCGGCUAACUCCGUGCCAGCAGCCGCGGUAAUACGGAGGAUGCGAGCGUUAUCCGGAUUUACUGGGUGUAAAGGGAGCGUAGACGGUGCAGCAAGUCUGAUGUGAAAGGUCGGGGCCCAACCCCGGGACUGCAUUGGAAACU